Molecule: unclassified non-coding RNA, 354 nt
Filed under: soil metagenome
Description: partial contains 5.8S ribosomal RNA, internal transcribed spacer 2, and large subunit ribosomal RNA
Rfam family: 5.8S ribosomal RNA (bases 1-120)
Source: RNAcentral
GAUGAAGAACGCAGCGAAAUGCGAUAAGUAAUGCGAAUUGCAGAAUUCAGUGAAUCAUCGAAUCUUUGAACGCACAUUGCGCACGCUAGUAUUCUGGCGGGCAUGCCUGUCUGAGCGUCAUUUCAACCCUCGCCCCCGGCUUUUGCUGGGAGCGGUGUUGGGGAUCGGCCGCCCGUCACUGGGAGGCCGGCCCCGAAAUAGAGUGGCGACCACGCCGUGUGCUCCUCUGCGUAGUAGUAAAUCACCUCGCAGGCGGACAGCGGUGCGGCCUGCCGUAAAACCCCCAACUCUUUCUGGUUGACCUCAGAUCAGGUAGGAAUACCCGCUGAACUUAAGCAUAUAAUAAGCGGAGGA